GACGUAGGGUGCGAGCGUUGUCCGGAUUUAUUGGGCGUAAAGAGCUCGUAGGCGGCUUGUCGCGUCGAAUGUGAAAACUCGGGGCUCAACUCCGAGCUUGCAUUCGAUACGGGCAGGCUAGAGUUCGGUAGGGGAGACUGGAAUUCCUGGUGUAGCGGUGAAAUGCGCAGAUAUCAGGAGGAACACCGGUGGCGAAGGCGGGUCUCUGGGCCGAUACUGACGCUGAGGCGCGAAAGCCAGGGGAGCAAACGGG
This 253-nucleotide ribosomal RNA is filed under the name uncultured bacterium. RNAcentral's name for it is "partial 16S ribosomal RNA". It matches the Rfam family "Bacterial small subunit ribosomal RNA", at positions 524 to 776 of the family's 1533-position model. The record is from RNAcentral.